AGAACGAACGCUGGCGGCAGGCUUAACACAUGCAAGUCGAACGCUCCGCAAGGAGAGUGGCAGACGGGUGAGUAACGCGUGGGAACCUUCCUUUUGGUUCGGAAUAGCUCAGGGAAACUUGGGGUAAUACCGGAUAAAGCCCUACGGGGGAAAGAUUUAUCGCCAAUAGAUGGGCCCGCGUCUGAUUAGCUAGUUGGUGAGGUAAUGGCUCACCAAGGCGACGAUCAGUAGCUGGUUUGAGAGAAUGACCAGCCACACUGGGACUGAGACACGGCCCAGACUCCUACGGGAGGCAGCAGUGGGGAAUCUUGGACAAUGGGCGCAAGCCUGAUCCAGCCAUGCCGCGUGAGUGACGAAGGCCUUCGGGUUGUAAAGCUCUUUUAGCAGGGAAGAUAAUGACGGUACCUGCAGAAUAAGCCCGGCUAACUUCGCGCCAGCAGCCGC
RNAcentral lists this ribosomal RNA (444 nucleotides) under uncultured bacterium. Its description in RNAcentral is "SSU rRNA". It matches the Rfam family "Bacterial small subunit ribosomal RNA", at positions 26 to 518 of the family's 1533-position model. The record is from RNAcentral.